This 476-nucleotide ribosomal RNA is filed under the name uncultured bacterium. RNAcentral describes it as "bacterial SSU rRNA". It matches the Rfam family "Bacterial small subunit ribosomal RNA", at positions 28 to 517 of the family's 1533-position model. The record is from RNAcentral.
GAUGAACGCUAGCGGCAGGCUUAACACAUGCAAGUCGAACGGCAGCACAGGUAGCAAUACUGGGUGGCGAGUGGCGCACGGGUGCGUAACGCGUAUGCAACCUACCUCUAUCUGGGAGAUAGCCCGAAGAAAUUCGGAUUAAUACCCCAUAAUAUAUGUCUUUCGCAUGUUAGACAUAUUAAAGCUUUGGCGGAUAGAGAUGGGCAUGCGUGACAUUAGCUAGUUGGUAGGGUAAUGGCCUACCAAGGCUACGAUGUCUAGCUGGUCUGAGAGGAUGAUCAGCCACACUGGAACUGAGACACGGUCCAGACCCCUACGGGAGGCAGCAGUGAGGAAUAUUCGACAAUGGGGGAAACCCUGAUCGAGCCAUGCCGCGUGUGUGAUGAAGGCCUUAGGGUUGUAAAGCACUUUUCAUUGGUGAAGAUAAUGAACGGUAACCAAAGAAGAAGCCCCGACUAACUUCGUGCCAGCAGCCG